ACUUGAGAGAGGAGAACCCAGGGAAUUGAAACAUCUUAGUACCUGGAGGAAAAGAAAACAACAGUGAUUCCGAAAGUAGUGGCGAGCGAAAUUGGAAGAGCCCAAACCAGUCUAAGGACUGGGGUAGUAGGACUGCAACGUGGAAAGAGAAGGAAUAGUCGAAUGGCAUUGAAAGGCCAGUCGAAGAAGGUGCAAACCCUGUAGACGAAAUUCCAACGAAUCCUAGCAGUAUCCUGAGUACGACGAGGCACGUGGAACCUUGUCGGAAGCAACCGGGACCAUCCGGUAAGGCUAAAUACUCCUAUAUGACCGAUAGUGAACCAGUACCAUGAGGGAAAGAUGAAAAGAACCGCGGGAGCGGAGUGAAAUAGAACCUGAAACCAUAUGCUUACAACAAGUCAGAGCACAUUAAGGUGUGAUGGCGUGCCUUUUGUAGAAUGAACCGGCGAGUUAUCCUUGCAUGCGAGGUUAAGUAGACAAUACGGAGCCGAAGCGAAAGCGAAUCUGAAAAGGGUGAAGAGUAUGCAGGGAUAGACCCGAAGCCGUUGUGAUCUAGUCAUGAGCAGGUUGAAGGUUGGGUGAAACCAACUGGAGGACCGAACCGACCCCCGUUGAAAAGUUGGCGGAUGACUUGUGAUUAGCGGAGAAAUUCCAAUCGAACACGGCGAUAGCUGGUUCUCCCCGAAAUAGCUUUAGGGCUAGCGUUGAGCGAAUCAUCGUGGAGGUAGAGCACUGAAUUCAUGAGGGCGGCAUCUAGCCGUACCAAAUGAAAUCAAACUCCGAAUGCCAUGAAUGAAUACUCAGCAGUCAGACUGUGGGUGAUAAGGUCCAUGGUCAAAACGGAAACAGCCGAGAUCAUCAGAUAAGGUCCCAAAAUCUAUGCUAAGUGGAAAAGGAUGUGGAGACGCGCAAACAGCUAGGAGGUUGGCUUAGAAGCAGCCACCCUUCAAAGAGUGCGUAACAGCUCACUAGUCGAGUAUCUCUGCGCCGAAAAUUAACCGGGGCUAAGCAUAGUACCGAAUCUAUGGAUUUAUAUUUCGAAUAUAAGUGGUAGGGGAGCGUUCCAAACAGCGUUGAAGGUAUACCGUAAGGAGUGCUGGAGCGUUUGGAAGUGAGAAUGCCGGUGUGAGUAGCGAGAUGUAGGUGAGAAUCCUACACACCGAUAGACCAAGGUUUCCAGGGGAAGGUUCGUCCGCCCUGGGUUAGUCGGGAACUAAGGCGAGGCCGAAAGGCGUAGUCGAUGAACAGCAGGUUGAUAUUCCUGCACCCACGUAUUAAAUGAUGGAGUGACAGACAAGGUUAGUUAGAGCCCUUAAUGGAUUGGGCAAGACGUGUGAAUAGAUGGUAUAUAGGAAAAUCCGUAUACGGAAAUCAAGACACGGCUCGAGUGAACACGCGAGUAAGUAAUGAAGAAAAUGAUACCAGGUCUCAAGAAAAGCUUCUAGUGUUAAUUAAUAAGUGGCCCGUACCUAAACCGACACAGGUGGUCAAGGAGAGUAGCCUAAGGUGAGCGAGAGAACUGUUGCCAAGGAACUCGGCAAAUUGAUCCCGUACGUUAGCUAUAAGGGGUGCUCGAAAGAGCCGCAGUGAAAAGGCCCUAGCAACUGUUUAACUAAAACAUAGCUCUCUGCUAAGUCGCAAGACGAUGUAUAGGGGGUGACACCUGCCCGGUGCUGGAAGGUCAAAAGGAUGAGUUAGGAGCAAUCCGAAGCUUUGAAUUGAAGCCCCAGUGAACGGCGGCCGUAACUAUAACGGUCCUAAGGUAGCGAAAUUCCUUGUCAGGUAAGUUCUGACCCGCACGAAAGGUGUAAUGAUUUGGGCACUGUCUCGGCAGCAGACUCGGUGAAAUCUUAGUACCUGUGAAGAUGCAGGUUACCCGCAACUAGACGGAAAGACCCCAUGGAGCUUUACUGUAGUCUGCUAUUGAGUUUCGGUUAAAUAUGCACAGUAUAGGUGGGAGACGAAGAGAUCGGGAUUUAGGUUUCGAAGGAGUCACCGUUGGGAUACCACUCUUAUUUAAUUGAAAUUCUAACUCUAGACCAUUACCUGGAUAGAGGACCGUGGCAGGUGGGCAGUUUGACUGGGGCGGUCGCCUCCCAAAGAGUAACGGAGGCGCUCAAAGGUACUCUCAGAAUGGUUGGAAAUCAUUCGGCGAGCGUAAAUGCAGAAGAGUGCUUGACUGCAAGACAUACAAGUCGAGCAGGGACGAAAGUCGGAAUUAGUGAUCCGGCGGUGCAGAAUGGAAU
This 2246-nucleotide ribosomal RNA is filed under the name human gut metagenome. RNAcentral's name for it is "bacterial LSU rRNA". It matches the Rfam family "Bacterial large subunit ribosomal RNA", at positions 168 to 2439 of the family's 2925-position model. The record is from RNAcentral.